CGAACGCUGGCGGCGUGCCUAAUACAUGCAAGUAGAACGCUGAAGAGAGGAGCUUGCUCUUCUUGGAUGAGUUGCGAACGGGUGAGUAACGCGUAGGUAACCUGCCUUGUAGCGGGGGAUAACUAUUGGAAACGAUAGCUAAUACCGCAUAACAAUGGAUGACACAUGUCAUUUAUUUGAAAGGGGCAAUUGUUCCACUACAAGAUGGACCUGCGUUGUAUUAGCUAGUAGGUGAGGUAAUGGCUCACCUAGGCGACGAUACAUAGCCGACCUGAGAGGGUGAUCGGCCACACUGGGACUGAGACACGGCCCAGACUCCUACGGGAGGCAGCAGUAGGGAAUCUUCGGCAAUGGGGGCAACCCUGACCGAGCAACGCCGCGUGAGUGAAGAAGGUUUUCGGAUCGUAAAGCUCUGUUGUAAGUCAAGAACGGGUGUGAGAGUGGAAAGUUCACACUGUGACGGUAGCUUACCAGAAAGGGACGGCUAACUACGUGCCAGCAGCCGCGGUAAUACGUAGGUCCCGAGCGUUGUCCGGAUUUAUUGGGCGUAAAGCGAGCGCAGGCGGUUUGAUAAGUCUGAAGUUAAAGGCUGUGGCUCAACCAUAGUUCGCUUUGGAAACUGUCAAACUUGAGUGCAGAAGGGGAGAGUGGAAUUCCAUGUGUAGCGGUGAAAUGCGUAGAUAUAUGGAGGAACACCGGUGGCGAAAGCGGCUCUCUGGUCUGUAACUGACGCUGAGGCUCGAAAGCGUGGGGAGCGAACAGGAUUAGAUACCCUGGUAGUCCACGCCGUAAACGAUGAGUGCUAGGUGUUGGAUCCUUUCCGGGAUUCAGUGCCGCAGCUAACGCAUUAAGCACUCCGCCUGGGGAGUACGACCGCAAGGUUGAAACUCAAAGGAAUUGACGGGGGCCCGCACAAGCGGUGGAGCAUGUGGUUUAAUUCGAAGCAACGCGAAGAACCUUACCAGGUCUUGACAUCCCGAUGCUAUUUCUAGAGAUAGAAAGUUACUUCGGUACAUCGGUGACAGGUGGUGCAUGGUUGUCGUCAGCUCGUGUCGUGAGAUGUUGGGUUAAGUCCCGCAACGAGCGCAACCCCUAUUGUUAGUUGCCAUCAUUCAGUUGGGCACUCUAGCGAGACUGCCGGUAAUAAACCGGAGGAAGGUGGGGAUGACGUCAAAUCAUCAUGCCCCUUAUGACCUGGGCUACACACGUGCUACAAUGGUUGGUACAACGAGUUGCGAGUCGGUGACGGCGAGCUAAUCUCUUAAAGCCAAUCUCAGUUCGGAUUGUAGGCUGCAACUCGCCUACAUGAAGUCGGAAUCGCUAGUAAUCGCGGAUCAGCACGCCGCGGUGAAUACGUUCCCGGGCCUUGUACACACCGCCCGUCACACCACGAGAGUUUGUAACACCCGAAGUCGGUGAGGUAACCUUUUGGAGCCAGCCGCCUAAGGUGGGACAGAUGAUUGGGGUGAAGU
Molecule: ribosomal RNA, 1472 nt
Filed under: uncultured organism
Description: SSU rRNA
Rfam family: Bacterial small subunit ribosomal RNA
Source: RNAcentral